UGUCAGUGUCCUUGAAGAGGAGUUUCACAAAAUGAAGCAGCUGUCUGGUGGUUGGCUUUGCUAUAAAGCUGCAGGUGGGUGUGGCCAGAGAAAACUGACUGUGGUGCCACCUGAGUCAGAGAGCUACACAGCAAAGUCUUUAAAAACAGCAUCUAACAAUGGCAAGAUCACACUCUACAUUGUACCGCUACAAGACACAAUCGACACUUCGCCACUACCCCCACAAGCAGCUGAAUUUGAGAAGAUGCCCAAAUCCAUUUGUAAAAAAUGUGGAGUUAUGAUGCCACUUCAAGUUUUGGCUUUGCACAUUGAAAAUUGUGCAUUAGAGUCAGAGAAUGCAUAUGUAAGUUUUUUAGUUUAAAGGAACUAUGUCCAGUUUGUGGAAGGUCUUUUCCUGAAGACAUGGUUGAAUUUCACGCUAGUAUCUGUGUAGAUAACUGCUCUGCAGAAAUGGAAAUGUUUUCAGAGUGGAAAGAGGAUGCUGUAGCC
This is a long non-coding RNA of Sinocyclocheilus grahami, 489 nucleotides long. RefSeq lists it as uncharacterized. NCBI's taxonomy places the organism in Eukaryota, Metazoa, Chordata, Actinopteri, Cypriniformes, Cyprinidae. The transcript is spliced from 4 exons. The record is from RefSeq and is a predicted model, not a curated record.